Molecule: transfer RNA, 69 nt
Filed under: Marmota monax (woodchuck)
Lineage: Eukaryota; Metazoa; Chordata; Mammalia; Rodentia; Sciuridae
Description: tRNA.Ala
Source: RNAcentral
UGGGGAUAUAGCUCAGUUAGUAGAGUGCUUGCCUAGCAUACGCAAGACCCUGGGUUCAAUCCCAGUGAA